RNAcentral lists this ribosomal RNA (497 nucleotides) under Phialocephala fortinii. Its description in RNAcentral is "eukaryotic LSU rRNA". The stretch from base 180 to 333 matches the Rfam family "5.8S ribosomal RNA". Lineage: Eukaryota; Fungi; Ascomycota; Leotiomycetes; Helotiales; Mollisiaceae. The record is from RNAcentral.
CAUUACAAGUGAGGCUACCGAACGUUGGAAACAGCGGUUAGGAGCUUACAACCACCCGUGUUUACAUACUAUUGUUGCUUUGGCGGGCCGUGGCCUCCACUGCGGGCUCUGCUCGUGUGUGCCCGCCAGAGAACCAAACUCUGAAUGUUAGUGAUGUCUGAGUACUAUCUAAUAGUUAAAACUUUCAACAACGGAUCUCUUGGUUCUGGCAUCGAUGAAGAACGCAGCGAAAUGCGAUAAGUAAUGUGAAUUGCAGAAUUCAGUGAAUCAUCGAAUCUUUGAACGCACAUUGCGCCCUGUGGUAUUCCGCAGGGCAUGCCUGUUCGAGCGUCAUUUAACCACUCACGCCUAGCGUGGUAUUGGGGCACGCGGUCUCCGCGGCCCUCAAAAUUAGUGGCGGCGCCGGUGGGCUCUAAGCGUAGUACAUACUCCCGCUAUAGAGCUCCCCCGGUGGCUCGCCAGAACCCCCAAUUUUUACAGGUUGACCUCGGAUCAGG